RNAcentral lists this ribosomal RNA (292 nucleotides) under uncultured microorganism. RNAcentral describes it as "partial 16S ribosomal RNA". It matches the Rfam family "Bacterial small subunit ribosomal RNA", at positions 505 to 796 of the family's 1533-position model. The record is from RNAcentral.
GUGCCAGCAGCCGCGGUAAUACAGAGGGUGCAAGCGUUAAUCGGAAUUACUGGGCGUAAAGCGAGCGUAGGUGGCUUAAUAAGUCAGAUGUGAAAUCCCCGGGCUUAACCUGGGAACUGCAUCUGAUACUGUUGGGCUAGAGUAGGUGAGAGGGAGGUAGAAUUUCAGGUGUAGCGGUGAAAUGCGUAGAGAUCUGAAGGAAUACCGAUGGCGAAGGCAGCCUCCUGGCAUCAUACUGACACUGAGGUUCGAAAGCGUGGGUAGCAAACAGGAUUAGAUACCCUGGUAGUCC